GACGAACGCUGGCGGCGUGCCUAAUACAUGCAAGUCGAACGCAUUUUCUUUCACCGUAGCUUGCUACACCGAAAGAAAAUGAGUGGCGAACGGGUUAGUAACACGUGGGUAACCUGCCCAUCAGCGGGGGAUAACACUUGGAAACAGGUGCUAAUACCGCAUAAUUCCAUUUACUGCAUGGUAGAUGGAUGAAAGGCGCUUUUGCGUCACUGAUGGAUGGACCCGCGGUGCAUUAGCUAGUUGGUGGGGUAACGGCCUACCAAGGCUGCGAUGCAUAGCCGACCUGAGAGGGUGAUCGGCCACACUGGGACUGAGACACGGCCCAGACUCCUACGGGAGGCAGCAGUAGGGAAUCUUCGGCAAUGGACGCAAGUCUGACCGAGCAACGCCGCGUGAGUGAAGAAGGUUUUCGGAUCGUAAAACUCUGUUGUUAGAAAAGAACAAGGAUGAGAGUGGAAAGUUCAUCCCUUGACGGUAUCUAACCAGAAAGCCACGGCUAACUACGUG
RNAcentral lists this ribosomal RNA (507 nucleotides) under uncultured bacterium. RNAcentral describes it as "partial 16S ribosomal RNA". It matches the Rfam family "Bacterial small subunit ribosomal RNA", at positions 28 to 507 of the family's 1533-position model. The record is from RNAcentral.